RNAcentral lists this ribosomal RNA (500 nucleotides) under uncultured Glomeromycotina. RNAcentral describes it as "partial small subunit ribosomal RNA". It matches the Rfam family "Eukaryotic small subunit ribosomal RNA", at positions 591 to 1092 of the family's 1831-position model. The record is from RNAcentral. Lineage: Eukaryota; Fungi; Glomeromycota.
CCAAUAGCGUAUAUUAAAGUUGUUGCAGUUAAAAAGCUCGUAGUUGAAUUUCGGGACCAAUAUGUUGGUCGUGCCUUUGGUACAUACUAGUUUAUUGGUUUCUUCCUUCUGGCGAACCACGAUGUCAUUAAUUUGGUGUCAUGGGGAAUCAGGACUGUUACUUUGAAAAAAUUAGAGUGUUUAAAGCAGGCUUCACGCUUGAAUACAUUAGCAUGGAAUAAUGAAAUAGGACGUUUGAUUCUAUUUUGUUGGUUUCUAGGAUCGACGUAAUGAUUAAUAGGGAUAGUUGGGGGCAUUAGUAUUCAAUUGUCAGAGGUGAAAUUCUUGGAUUUAUUGAAGACUAACUACUGCGAAAGCAUUUGCCAAGGAUGUUUUCAUUAAUCAAGAACGAAAGUUAGGGGAUCGAAGACGAUCAGAUACCGUCGUAGUCUUAACCAUAAACUAUGCCGACUAGGGAUCGGAUGAUGUUAAUUUUUUAAUGACUCAUUCGGCGCCUUACG